This 442-nucleotide ribosomal RNA is filed under the name uncultured bacterium. RNAcentral describes it as "partial 16S ribosomal RNA". It matches the Rfam family "Bacterial small subunit ribosomal RNA", at positions 338 to 795 of the family's 1533-position model. The record is from RNAcentral.
CCUACGGGAGGCAGCAGUGGGGAAUAUUGGGCAAUGGGCGAAAGCCUGACCCAGCGACGCCGCGUGAAGGAAGAAGGCUUUCGGGUUGUAAACUUCUAUCGACAGGGAAGAGCAGAGAACGGUACCUGUCGAAUAGGCCACGGCGAACUACGUGCCAGCAGCCGCGGUAAUAGGUAGGUGGCAAGCGUUUUCCGGAUUUACUGGGGGUAAAGGGCGUGUAGACGGGUUGACAAGUCAGAAGUGAAAUCCGGGGGCUCAACCCUCGAACUGCAUUUGAAACUGUUGGGCUUGAGUAUCGGAGAGGCAGGCGGAAUUCCUAGUGUAGCGGUGAAAUGCGUAGAUAUUAGGAGGAACACCAGUGGCGAAGGCGGCCUGCUGGACGACAACUGACGGUGAGGCGCGAAAGCGUGGGGAGCAAACAGGAUUAGAUACCCGGGUAGUC